This 827-nucleotide long non-coding RNA is filed under the name Chinchilla lanigera (long-tailed chinchilla). RNAcentral's name for it is "lncRNA (ENSCLAG00000028656.1)". Lineage: Eukaryota; Metazoa; Chordata; Mammalia; Rodentia; Chinchillidae. The record is from RNAcentral.
CCGGCAGCUCCACUCUCUCCCCUUCUGCCACCUGGGUGCCUCUUUUCUUCUGGGCGGGGUCCUCAAGUCUGUCCUUCAGCCUCCACCCCACUCUGCACUCCUGAGAUUGCUCCAUUUCUCAGGACACUCGGCACUUCCUGGGAGCUCUGAUGGCUGCUGCUGGUAUCACAACCUGGAGCCACAUGCUCAGGGGACUCCAGGGCUGACAAGGAAGGGAAGGGCAGAGGGACCAGGCAAUGGAGAGAGGGAGCCGCCUGCUGGAAGGCGGCGUCCAGGGUCAAGAAGCUUGUCCAAGGAGCACCUGUGCUCAUGUCUGCCAACCCCAGAGGUUUCUCACAGCCCCCAGCCACAGCCUGUUUGCCAGCCUCUGAGGGCGACACCGCCAUACAUCUCCUCUCACUCAGGGUGGCAGCUUUGCCUUGUGCAUCCCAGCCCGUCAUGGACGUUCUCUCUCAUCACCUUCCUGGGGCACCAUCGUACCUAGCUCCCUGUCCAUGGACACCCGAGUGAUUCUGUCUCAUCACACCAUCCCUGCCACAGGCUCAGCUCGGGCUGUGAUGAGAAGGCGCUGCUGUAACUGCCUCAGCUCCUACCACGUCAGACUGCGAGUGAGCAUCCAGCUCUGCAACCAGCCAGGUGGACGCAGACGCCGAAGGCUCCCUGUCUGAUUGUGGUGCAUCUUUGUUAAUAAUUAUUCCUGUAAAAACCUUGGACAGCAAAGAAGCCCACUGUUAACAAUAUCUGUAUACUUGGUGGCCUUCACAGUUUGAUCUGCUGUUAUAGAAACCAAAAGUGGACACAGACAGGCCACAGUGGACUCAAACCAG